CAUGCAAGUCGAGCGGGGAARGKURSYUYGSUAMYKGACCUAGCGGCGGACGGGUGAGUAAUGCUUAGGAAUCUGCCUAUUAGUGGGGGACAACGUUCCGAAAGGAACGCUAAUACCGCAUACGCCCUACGGGGGAAAGCAGGGGAUCUUCGGACCUUGCGCUAAUAGAUGAGCCUAAGUCGGAUUAGCUAGUUGGUGGGGUAAAGGCCUACCAAGGCGACGAUCUGUAGCGGGUCUGAGAGGAUGAUCCGCCACACUGGGACUGAGACACGGCCCAGACUCCUACGGGAGGCAGCAGUGGGGAAUAUUGGACAAUGGGCGGAAGCCUGAUCCAGCCAUGCCGCGUGUGUGAAGAAGGCCUUUUGGUUGUAAAGCACUUUAAGCGAGGAGGAGGCUCCUUUAGUUAAUACCUAAAGWGAGUGGACGUUACUCGCAGAAUAAGCACCGGCUAA
RNAcentral lists this ribosomal RNA (452 nucleotides) under Acinetobacter schindleri. RNAcentral describes it as "partial 16S ribosomal RNA". It matches the Rfam family "Bacterial small subunit ribosomal RNA", at positions 54 to 500 of the family's 1533-position model. The record is from RNAcentral. Lineage: Bacteria; Pseudomonadati; Pseudomonadota; Gammaproteobacteria; Moraxellales; Moraxellaceae.